AGAUCCCUGGCUCAGAUUGAACGCUGGCGGAUGCUUUACACAUGCAAGUCGAACGGCAGCACGGACUUCGGUCUGGUGGCGAGUGGCGAACGGGUGAGUGCACGUAUCGGAACGUGCCUAGUAGCGGGGGAUAACUACGCGAAAGCGUAGCUAAUACCGCAGGCUGCCCUUCGGGGAAAGCGGGGACCUUCGGGCCUCGCACUAUUAGAGCGGCCGAUAUCGGAUUAGCUAGUUGGUGGGGUAACGGCUCACCAAGGCGACGAUCCGUAGCUGGUUUGAGAGGACGACCAGCCACACUGGGACUGAGACACGGCCCAGACUCUACGGGAGGCAGCAGUGGGACUUGGGACAAUGGGGAAACUCGACCAGCCAUCCCGCGUGUGCGAUGCGAAGGCCUUCGGUUGUAAAGCACUUUUGGCAGGAAAAGAAACGGCACGGGAUAAUAACGCUCCCCGUGCAACUGACGGUACUCGCAGAAUAAGCACCGGCUAACUACGUGCCAGCAGCCGCGGUAAUAUGUAGGGUGCAAGCGUUAAUCGGAAUUACUGGGCGUGAAGCGUGCGCAGGUGGUUCGGAAAGAAAGAUGUGAAAUCCCAGAGCUUAACUUUGGAACUGCAUUUUUAACUACCGAGCUAGAGGCGCGUGUCAGAGGGAGGUGGAAUUCCGCGUGUAGCAGUGAAAUGCGUAGAUAUGCGGAGGAACACCGAUGGCGAAGCGCAGCCUCCUGGGGAUAACACUGACGCUCAUGCACGAAAGCGGGGAGCAAACAGGGAUUAGAUACCCUAGUCCACGUUCAAACGAUGUCAACUAGCUGUUGGGGCUCUCUGGCCUGGUAGCGCAGCUAACGCGUGAAGUUGACCGCCUGGGGAGUACGGUCGCAAGAUUAAAACCUAAAGUGGAAUUGACGGGGACCCGCACAAGCGGCGGAUGAUGUGGAUUAAUUCGAUGCAAACGCGAAAACCUUACUCAAUUUUGACAUGUCUGGAAUCCUGAAGAGAUUUGGGGAGUGCCUGCAAGAGAACCGGAACACAGGUGCUGCAUGGCUGUCGUCAGCUCGUGUCGUGAGAUGUUGGGUUAAGUCCCAAAACGAGCGCAACCCUUGUCAUUAGUUGCUACGAGGGGCACUCUAAUGAGACUGCCGGCGGUCAGCCCGGAGGAAGGUGGGGAUGACGUCGUCCUCAUGGCCUCUUAUGGGUAGGGCUUCACACGUCAUACAAUGGUCGGGACAGGUCGCCAACCCGCGAGGGGGAGCCAAUCCCAGAACCCGAUCGUAGUCCGGAUCGCAGUUCGCAACUCGACUGUGUGAAGUCGGAAUCGCUAGUAAUCGCGGAUCAGCAUGUCGCGGUGAAUACGUUCCUUGGUCUUGUACACACUGUCAUCGCCCAGUGGGAGUGGUUUUACCAGAAGUAGUUAGCCUAACCGUAAGGAGGGCGAUUACCACGGUAGGAUUCAUGACUGGGGUGAAGUCGUAACACAGC
This 1478-nucleotide ribosomal RNA is filed under the name uncultured Bordetella sp. RNAcentral's name for it is "partial 16S-23S ribosomal RNA intergenic spacer". It matches the Rfam family "Bacterial small subunit ribosomal RNA". Lineage: Bacteria; Pseudomonadati; Pseudomonadota; Betaproteobacteria; Burkholderiales; Alcaligenaceae. The record is from RNAcentral.